AACGAACGCUGGCGGCAUGCCUAUCACAUGCAAGUCGAACGAGACCUUCGGGUCUGGUGGCGCACGGGUGCGUAACGCGUGGGAACCUGCCCUUAGGUUCGGAAUAACUCCCCGAAAGGGGUGCUAAUACCGGAUAAUGUCUUCGGACCAAAGAUUUAUCGCCUUUGGAUGGGCCCGCGUUGGAUUAGCUAGUUGGUAGGGUAAAAGCCUACCAAGGCGACGAUCCAUAGCUGGUCUGAGAGGAUGAUCAGCCACACUGGGACUGAGACACGGCCCAGACUCCUACGGGAGGCAGCAGUGGGGAAUAUUGGACAAUGGGCGAAAGCCUGAUCCAGCAAUGCCGCGUGAGUGAUGAAGGCCUUAGGGUUGUAAAGCUCUUUUACCCGGGAUGAUAAUGACAGUACCGGGAGAAUAAGCUCCGGCUAACUCCGUG
This 433-nucleotide ribosomal RNA is filed under the name uncultured bacterium. RNAcentral's name for it is "partial 16S ribosomal RNA". It matches the Rfam family "Bacterial small subunit ribosomal RNA", at positions 29 to 507 of the family's 1533-position model. The record is from RNAcentral.